Molecule: ribosomal RNA, 434 nt
Filed under: uncultured Blautia sp.
Lineage: Bacteria; Bacillati; Bacillota; Clostridia; Lachnospirales; Lachnospiraceae
Description: partial 16S ribosomal RNA
Rfam family: Bacterial small subunit ribosomal RNA
Source: RNAcentral
ACGGGAGGCAGCAGUGGGGAAUAUUGCACAAUGGGGGAAACCCUGAUGCAGCGACGCUGCGUGAAGGAAGAAGUAUCUCGGUAUGUAAACUUCUAUCAGCAGGGAAGAAAAUGACGGUACCUGACUAAGAAGCCCCGGCUAACUACGUGCCAGCAGCCGCGGUAAUACGUAGGUGGCAAGCGUUAUCCGGAUUUACUGAGUGUAAAGGGCGCGUAGGCGGGAGAGCAAGUCAGAUGUGAAAUCCAUGGGCUUAACCCAUGAACUGCAUUUGAAACUGUUCUUCUUGAGUGCUGGAGAGGUAGACGGAAUUCCUUGUGUAGCGGUGAAAUGCGUAGAUAUAAGGAAGAACACCAGUGGCGAAGGCGGUCUACUGGACAGUAACUGACGCUGAGGCGCGAAAGCGUGGGGAGCAAACAGGAUUAGAUACCCUGGUA